Molecule: small nucleolar RNA, 148 nt
Filed under: Drosophila mojavensis
Lineage: Eukaryota; Metazoa; Arthropoda; Insecta; Diptera; Drosophilidae
Description: snoRNA:GI25418
Source: RNAcentral
AGUCCAACUCUAUGCUAGUCGGCUUAUAAUCCAUGCUGCUCUGAGCAUAAUCAUUUGAAUGGACUAAUAUUAAAUAGAAGGUUUUAAUAUCCUAGUGCCUGAAGAUUUGAAAUCUCUUCUUGCUCUCUUGGAACUUAAAACUACAAUA